RNAcentral lists this ribosomal RNA (487 nucleotides) under uncultured bacterium. RNAcentral describes it as "bacterial SSU rRNA". It matches the Rfam family "Bacterial small subunit ribosomal RNA", at positions 30 to 502 of the family's 1533-position model. The record is from RNAcentral.
AUUGAACGCUGGCGGCAUGCCUUACACAUGCAAGUCGAACGGUAACGCGGGGGCAACCCUGGCGACGAGUGGCGAACGGGUGAGUAAUACAUCGGAACAUAUCCAGUAGCGGGGGGAUAACCUAUCGAAAGAUUGGCUAAUACCGCAUACGAUCUACGGAUGAAAGCAGGGGACCGCAAGGCCUUGCACUAUUGGAGUGGCCGAUGUCAGAUUAGCUAGUUGGUGGGGUAAAAGCCUACCAAGGCGACGAUCUGUAGCUGGUCUGAGAGGACGAUCAGCCACACUGGAACUGAGACACGGUCCAGACUCCGUACGGGAGGCAGCAGUGGGGAAUAGGUCUAACAAUGGUCGGAAGACUGAUAGUGCGACGCCGCGUGAACGAUGAACUCCGUUCGGGUGUUAAAGUUCUUUAUAUGUGAGCAGUGUCUUCUUAUAUUAACAGUAUGGGGAGAGAGAUAUUAGAUAUAGAAUAAGACAACGGCUAACG